ACUCCUACGGGAGGCAGCAGUGGGGAAUAUUGGACAAUGGGCGGAAGCCUGAUCCAGCAACGCCGCGUGAGGGAUGACGGCCUUCGGGUUGUAAACCUCUUUCAGUAUCGACGAAGGCCCGGUUGAUGGGUUUGACGGUAGGUACAGAAGAAGCACCGGCCAACUACGUGCCAGCAGCCGCGGUAAUACGGAGGGUGCGAGCGUUAAUCGGAAUUACUGGGCGUAAAGCGCAUGCAGGUGGUUUGUUAAGUCAGAUGUGAAAGCCCGGGGCUCAACCUCGGAACUGCAUUUGAAACUGGCAGACUAGAGUACUGUAGAGGGGGUGAGAAAUUUCAGGUGUAGCGGUGAAAUGCGUAGAGAUCUGAAGGAAUACCGGUGGCGAAGGCGGCCCCUCGGACAGAUACUGACACUCCAGAUGCGAAAGCGUGGGGGAGCAAACAGGAUU
This 445-nucleotide ribosomal RNA is filed under the name uncultured bacterium. Its description in RNAcentral is "bacterial SSU rRNA". It matches the Rfam family "Bacterial small subunit ribosomal RNA", at positions 335 to 779 of the family's 1533-position model. The record is from RNAcentral.